RNAcentral lists this transfer RNA (69 nucleotides) under Hypoponera sauteri. RNAcentral's name for it is "tRNA-Ala". Lineage: Eukaryota; Metazoa; Arthropoda; Insecta; Hymenoptera; Formicidae. The record is from RNAcentral.
AGGAUUUUAGUUAAAUUUAUAACAUUUAAAUUGCAUUUAAAAUUUAUUUUUUAUUUAAAAUAUAUCUUU